CAAGUCGAGUGCGCGGUUGUAGCAAUACAACUGGCGCACGGCGCACGGGUGCGUAACACGUGGGUAACCCGCCCUUUGGUGGGGAAUAACUCCGCGAAAGCGGAGCUAAUUCCGCAUAAGAUCCGCAAGGAUGAAAGCCGCAAGGCGCCGAAGGAGGGGCCCGCGCCCGAUUAGCUAGUUGGUAGGGUAACGGCCUACCAAGGCUUUGAUCGGUAGCUGGUCUGAGAGGAUGAUCAGCCACACUGGAACUGAGACACGGUCCAGAUUCCUACGGGAGGCAGCAGUGGGGAAUCUUGCACAAUGGGCGAAAGCCUGAUGCAGCGACGCCGCGUGGGGGAUGAAGCAUUUCGGUGUGUAAACCCCUUUCGAUCCGGACGAAACCCCGCAAGGGAUUGACGGUACGGAUAUAAGAAGCCCCGGCUAACUACGUGCCAGCAGCCGCGGUAAGACGUAGGGGGCCAGCGUUGUUCGGAAUUACUGGGUGUAAAGGGUUCGUAGGCGGUGCGGCAAGUUGGGAGUGAAAUCUCUGGGCUUAACCCAGAGGCUGCUUCCAAAACUGCUGUGCUUGAGUGUGGGAGAGGCGCGUGGAAUUGCAGGUGUAGCGGUGAAAUGCGUAGAUAUCUGCAGGAACACCCGUGGCGAAAGCGGCGCGCUGGACCACUACUGACGCUGAGGAACGAAAGCUAGGGGAGCAAACAGGAUUAGAUACCCUGGUAGUCCUAGCCCUAAACGAUCAGGACUUGGGGUGCCACCCGUUCGGGUGUCGUCCCGGAGCUAACGCGUUAAGUCCUGCACCUGGGGAGUACGGUCGCAAGACUGAAACUCAAAG
RNAcentral lists this ribosomal RNA (829 nucleotides) under uncultured Pseudomonadota bacterium. RNAcentral's name for it is "bacterial SSU rRNA". It matches the Rfam family "Bacterial small subunit ribosomal RNA", at positions 58 to 906 of the family's 1533-position model. The record is from RNAcentral. Lineage: Bacteria; Pseudomonadati; Pseudomonadota.